CACGGGGGGAGCAAGCGUUGUCCGGAUUUACUGGGCGUAAAGAGCGUGUAGGCGGGAUGACAAGUCGGUGGUGAAAUCUCUCGGCUUAACCGGGAAUGUGCUGUCGAUACUAUCAUCCUUGAGUGCGGAAGAGGGAAGCGGAAUUCCUGGUGUAGCGGUGAAAUGCGUAGAUAUCAGGAAGAACACCAGUAGCGAAGGCGGCUUCCUGGUCCGCAACUGACGCUGAGACGCGAAAGCGUGGGGAG
This 245-nucleotide ribosomal RNA is filed under the name uncultured Bacillota bacterium. RNAcentral describes it as "uncultured Firmicutes bacterium partial 16S ribosomal RNA". It matches the Rfam family "Bacterial small subunit ribosomal RNA", at positions 524 to 768 of the family's 1533-position model. The record is from RNAcentral. Lineage: Bacteria; Bacillati; Bacillota.